RNAcentral lists this long non-coding RNA (693 nucleotides) under Rattus norvegicus (Norway rat). RNAcentral's name for it is "long non-coding RNA NONRATT006376". The record is from RNAcentral. Lineage: Eukaryota; Metazoa; Chordata; Mammalia; Rodentia; Muridae.
UUUCUGUCCUCUGGGUGUCUGCAUGACACAGCGGUGAAGGAGAUAAAGCAGAGAUGAGUAUGACAGGCACGUGCCGUGGUCCUGGAGACGGAUGGCGCCCAGAAUGACAGGCUCAGCUUGGGCUGUGUCAGAACUUUCCAAUGGGAUUUUAGUGAGCAAGGAAGGAAUGUUGCUAGACUGUUAGUGUGCUGGCACAAGCCUGUAAUCUUAGAACUCAGGAAGCUAAGGCAGGAUGAUCUUAAACUUGAGGCAGCCUGAAAUACAUAGUGAGACCAUGUUUCUAACAAGACAAAUCAAAACCAAAACGUCAAUGCAACGUCUGGGGACUUCUUUAUUUCCUCAGGGUUUGGGGGCAGUGACAGGGUCAGCCUAUGUGGGAAACCCAGGAUACUUGACAAGAAGGAGAUGUAAGCUGAGGUUCUGCCUAGGGCGAAAUUCCAGUGAAAAGUUACUUUUUAUCGGAAAUUGACUUUUCAGUAGGUGUUUUAGCCAAACUGGCCCCCUGGUCAUCAUGGAGGACUUUGUCAGCUUGGCCAUGAUCUUGGGGCAGCGGCUUUGAAAGUCAGCAUCUCUCCUUGGCCCUCCAGGCUGCACCCCCAGGAAGUGUGGCCGAGGUGUCACUGACAUCGUCAUCACCAGGGAGGAGGCGGAGCAGAUUCGCAGAAUAGCAGAGAAAGGGCUCUCCCUAGGUGG